This 414-nucleotide ribosomal RNA is filed under the name Acidimicrobiia bacterium. RNAcentral's name for it is "partial 23S ribosomal RNA". It matches the Rfam family "Bacterial large subunit ribosomal RNA", at positions 2513 to 2925 of the family's 2925-position model. The record is from RNAcentral. Lineage: Bacteria; Bacillati; Actinomycetota; Acidimicrobiia.
AAGGUUUGGCACCUCGAUGUCGGCUCAUCGCAUCCUGGGGCUGAAGCAGGUCCCAAGGGUUGGGCUGUUCGCCCAUUAAAGCGGUACGCGAGCUGGGUUUAGAACGUCGUGAGACAGUUCGGUCCCUAUCCUCUGCAGCCGGAAGGAACUUGAGAAAGGCUGUCCCUAGUACGAGAGGACCGGGACGGACGCAGCUCUAGUGUGCCAGUUGUCCUGCCAAGGGCAUGGCUGGUUGGCUACCUGCGGAAGGGAUAAGCGCUGAAAGCAUCUAAGCGCGAAGCCUGUUUCAAGAUGAGGUUCCUCACCGGGUCAACCGGGUAAGGCCCGUGGUAGACCACCACGUUGAUAGGCCGGAGGUGUACGCACGGUAACGUGUUCAGCCGACCGGUACUAAUCGGCCGAGGGCUUGGAUUC